Molecule: ribosomal RNA, 712 nt
Filed under: uncultured bacterium
Lineage: Bacteria
Description: bacterial SSU rRNA
Rfam family: Bacterial small subunit ribosomal RNA
Source: RNAcentral
AUUAGAUACCCUGGGUAGUCCGCACGGUAAACGAUGGAUGCCCGCCGUUGGGUAUUUUUAUUCAGUGGCCAAGCGAAAGCGUUAAGCAUCCCACCUGGGGAGUACGCCGGCAACGGUGAAACUCAAAGGAAUUGACGGGGGCCCGCACAAGCGGAGGAACAUGUGGUUUAAUUCGAUGAUACGCGAGGAACCUUACCCGGGUUUGAACGUAGUCUGACCGGAGUGGAAACACUCCUUCUAGCAAUAGCAGAUUACGAGGUGCUGCAUGGUUGUCGUCAGCUCGUGCCGUGAGGUGUCGGCUUAAGUGCCAUAACGAGCGCAACCCUUAUCACUAGUUACUAACAGGUGAAGCUGAGGACUCUGGUGAGACUGCCAGCGUAAGCUGUGAGGAAGGUGGGGAUGACGUCAAAUCAGCACGGCCCUUACAUCCGGGGCGACACACGUGUUACAAUGGCAUGGACAAAGGGCAGCUACCUGGCGACAGGAUGCUAAUCUCCAAACCAUGUCUCAGUUCGGAUCGGAGUCUGCAACUCGACUCCGUGAAGCUGGAUUCGCUAGUAAUCGCGCAUCAGCCAUGGCGCGGUGAAUACGUUCCCGGGCCUUGUACACACCGCCCGUCAAGCCAUGGGAGCCGGGAGUGCCUGAAGUGCGUGAGCGCGAGCAGCGCCCUAGGGUAAGACCGGUGACUGGGGCUAAGUCGUAACAAGGUAAC